Molecule: ribosomal RNA, 253 nt
Filed under: uncultured bacterium
Lineage: Bacteria
Description: partial 16S ribosomal RNA
Rfam family: Bacterial small subunit ribosomal RNA
Source: RNAcentral
UACGUAGGCAGCGAGCGUUGUUCGGAAUUACUGGGCGUAAAGAGUGUGUAGGCGGUGCUCUAAGUUCGGUGUGAAAUCUCCCGGCUUAACUGGGAGGGUGCGCCGGAAACUGGAGUGCUCGAGCGUGGGAGAGGAAAGCGGAAUUCCUGGUGUAGCGGUGAAAUGCGUAGAUAUCAGGAGGAACACCUGCGGUGUAGACGGCUUACUGGACCAUAACUGACGCUGAGGCACGAAAGCGUGGGUAGCAAACAGG